Molecule: ribosomal RNA, 253 nt
Filed under: uncultured bacterium
Lineage: Bacteria
Description: partial 16S ribosomal RNA
Rfam family: Bacterial small subunit ribosomal RNA
Source: RNAcentral
GACGAACCGUGCGAACGUUAUUCGGAAUCACUGGGCGUAAAGGGCGCGUAGGCGGGGAGGUAAGUCGGGGGUGAAAUCCCUCGGCCCAACUGAGGAACUGCGCCCGAGACUGCUUCUCUUGAGUCCCGGAGAGGAAGAUGGAAUUCCCGGUGUAGCGGUGAAAUGUGUAGAGAUCGGGAGGAACACCGGUGGCGAAGGCGGUCUUCUGGACGGUGACUGACGCUGAGGCGCGAAAGCGUGGGGAGCAAACGGG